Molecule: long non-coding RNA, 2123 nt
Organism: Oryzias melastigma (Indian medaka)
Lineage: Eukaryota; Metazoa; Chordata; Actinopteri; Beloniformes; Adrianichthyidae
Exons: 3
Source: RefSeq, a predicted model, not a curated record
CAGCAGGUCUGAUGAACACAAUCAGAAUCAUUAUCCAGAUGAGACGGAUGCUGAACACAACACAUAUGCUUCUCUGCUCCAUGGUGAAGUUUCUCUUUAUGAUUCACUCAGAGGCCCUGAAGACCCAGAAAAUGAUCCAGAGUAUGCCAACAUAGGUUCUGAAGAACAGUGAAGAUUAUCUGUCUGAUUUUCUACUCUGGAAUUCCAAGAGCGCCACCUGGAUUUAGACUUCUUUGAAUCAAGAGAAACUCCAGAGGAACUCGGAUUCUGACUCUUUCUCCGGCUGCUGAACAAGACAAACAUAAAUGUACAAAACAUGUUGGUAUUUGAGAUUAUUUCUAAAUUGUAUUCAAGUCCACACAAGGAUUUGGGUUAUUACUAUUUUUUUUUUCUGGACAGACACAACAACACUUAAAAAUUGAAAAUCUGAAAACAUAACAUUCUUUCUCCAGAAAGUUACACAAAUGUUCAAUUCAUUGAUCUGAAUGCAGCCUUAUGUUUACAUUUAUUGGGUUUGUUAGUGUUCAUCGCGUAAUAAAUAUUCACUUUUAAACCAUUAAAAUAUUUUCUUAUAUUUUGACAAGUUAAAUGUAAAUACUUUCUAACACGUUCACGCAGCUCUAUAGCAUCUCUGUGUUGCAUUUUGGGAUCAGUUUUUAGUAACAGUAUUUAAUACACAAGCUGCAGCCCAAUCAACACAAAACAUCAUAUUUAAACUUAACAUACUUCUGGUAAAUGUAUACAGAUUUUUAAAAUAAAUGUCUUAAAAAGGUGCAGCUGUUACAUAUGUGUUGUUGGAAGUUAAAACUUGGUGAUGCAUGUUUUCCACUUGAAAUAGCAUGGUAAAUGAGAAUAUCAUUCACUGUGAUGUAAAGAGUCACAUGUUCUCAGUGCAGAAACAUUUUCUAUUCUUGUAUUUUAUGGUCACUUCCUGGUUGAAGUGUUAACAUCACAUCAUUCACACCAAAUGAAGAAGAACAUAUUUAAAAACUGCUGCAGCAUGAGGUCAUAAUAAUUGUUAAUAUCCAUAGUUUUAGUCUCUCAUCUUAUUAAGAAUUCACCAUAAAACAACAUUUUAACUGAAAUGUGAAAAAUAAUUAAAAACCUUAAAUUUCAGAAUAUUUUGGAUUUUUAUCUAACACAAGUUUCAAUGUCAGAAAAACAUUUAAAUCCUUUCUUAAUUGUGAAUUUGGUCUGUCUGUUUUUUGUUCACACUUAGCUCAGACAAACUUCAGCUUUGACCACAGCAUUUCUUUCUCAUUAUUAUUUUUUUUCUGUUUUAGUUUGUUUAAAUAUCAAAGUGUUUUUUAUUGUGUGACUGCAAAUAAAUUCACCAGUCCCUGGAAACUGCUGUGGGUGAAGCCUGGUCAGCAUCUAAGAGGUCUCACCUGGACUAAUUUGACCUUACUGGACUCACCCACUGUACAGAAAUAAAAGUGUGAAUUCACUUUAGAACAUCUUUUGUUUUCAUUCGUUUUAUUUUUUUUACCACUUUCUUAAAAUGUAUUAAAUGAUGAGUUACCUUCUUAAGUUAAUGUUAAGUAAGAAGAACUGAUUUAGUCUUUUAUGUAUAUAUGUUUCCCUUUUGCAUCUGUCUGGAGGUCAUUCAUCACUUUUAGUUAAAGUUUAUUGUAUGUUGAAGAUUUUUUAUGGGCUUUUUUUUACAUGUAAAAGAAUGUCUCAUAAGUAGUCUGAUGCGUUUAGAGAAUUCUCCAUCUAUAUAACAUUUUACCUGGGGGGCCCAAACUUGCAAUCCCUACUGGGCAUCAACAAGGAUAAAGAUGUAACAGAAUGACUAAAAACUACAAGAAAAUGUGGAAGAAAAAAUAUAUACAUAUAUAUUUAUAUAUGUAUAUAUUGUUAAAGUAAUCUUUCUGCACAACUACAAAUUUACACUCACUAGAUUUCUGUAUUAGGUACACCUUAUAUUAUCAGCUUUGACCCCUUUUGCCUUCAGAACUGCCUAAAUGCUUGGUGGCAUAGAUUCAACAAGGUACUGGAAACAUUCCUCAGAGAGUUUGAUCCAUAUUUACAUUAUAGCAUCACACAGUUGCUGCAGAUUUUUCAGCUACACAUCCAUGAUAAAAAUCUCACAUUCCACCAAAUCCCAAAGUUGCACUGUU